Podarcis raffonei (Aeolian wall lizard) is the source of this 274-nucleotide long non-coding RNA. RefSeq lists it as uncharacterized. Lineage: Eukaryota; Metazoa; Chordata; Lepidosauria; Squamata; Lacertidae. The transcript has 3 exons. The record is from RefSeq and is a predicted model, not a curated record.
AAGAUGACAGGUCAAGCUGGAGCUAUCCUCUGAGAACAAAGGAGCAAGCAACGGCUACCUUGUUUAUCUCUAGAUUAGGUAGAUCACUUUUGCAGUUUAUUUGAAACAAGAAACAGCCUUUACAAAUCCCUACAGAUGGCUUUUAAAGGCUUUGUGAAAGAGGGUAGGACUCGAACCAAUGGAUUCAAACCACAACAAAGGAGAUUCCGAUGAAAUGUUAGGAGAAACUUUCUGGGGGAAAGAGCUGCUUGAUAGUGGAACAGACUACCUUGGA